RNAcentral lists this transfer RNA (91 nucleotides) under Achromobacter insuavis. Its description in RNAcentral is "tRNA-Ala". RNAcentral also lists the same sequence under 4 other names. The record is from RNAcentral. Lineage: Bacteria; Pseudomonadati; Pseudomonadota; Betaproteobacteria; Burkholderiales; Alcaligenaceae.
CUGACGGUUGGCGCGAUGGCGCUGGCGAUGGCGAUCGCCGCGCCGGUGGCGGCGCAGCAGAAGUCGGUGGCGAUCACCGCCAUCGUCGAGC